GAUGAACGCUGGCGGCGUGCCUAAUACAUGCAAGUCGAGCGGACAGACGAGGAGCUUGCUCCUCUCACGUUAGCGGCAGGCGUGUGAGUAACACGUGGAUACCCUACCUAUAAUACUGGUAUCACUUCGAAAAACCGGAGCAAAUACGGUAGAAUAUCUUGCACCACGUGGUUCAAUAGUAAAAGACGGUUUUGCUGUCACGUAUCGCUGCAUCCGCGCCGCAUUAGCUAGUUGGUAAGGUCACGGCUUAUGAAGGCAACGAGGCGUGGCCGACCUGUGAGAGUGAUCGGCCACACGGGAACGGAGACGCGGUCCAGACUACUAAGGGAGGCAGCAGUAUGGAAUGGUCCGCAAUGGGCGGAAGCCUGACGGAGCAACGCGGCGUGAGUGAUGAAGGCCUCCGGAGCGGAAAACUCUGUUAUGAGGGAAGAACAAAUGUGGAAGGAACUAUGCACGGCUUGACGGUAAUGAAUCAGAAAGCCACGGCUAACUACGUG
RNAcentral lists this ribosomal RNA (497 nucleotides) under uncultured bacterium. RNAcentral's name for it is "partial 16S ribosomal RNA". It matches the Rfam family "Bacterial small subunit ribosomal RNA", at positions 28 to 507 of the family's 1533-position model. The record is from RNAcentral.